This 433-nucleotide ribosomal RNA is filed under the name uncultured bacterium. Its description in RNAcentral is "partial 16S ribosomal RNA". It matches the Rfam family "Bacterial small subunit ribosomal RNA", at positions 29 to 507 of the family's 1533-position model. The record is from RNAcentral.
AACGAACGCUGGCGGCAUGCCUAACACAUGCAAGUCGAACGAGACCUUCGGGUCUAGUGGCGCACGGGUACGUAACGCGUGGGAACCUGCCCUUAGGUUCGGAAUAACUCCCCGAAAGGGGUGCUAAUGGCGGAUAAUGUCUUCGGACCACAGAUUUAUCUCCUUUGGAUGUGCCCGCGUGGGAUUAGCUAGUUGGUAGGGUAAAAGCCUACCAAGGCGACGAUCCAUAGCUGGUCUGCGAGGAUGGUCAGCCACACUGGGACUGGGCCACGGCCCAGACUCCUACGCGAGGCAGCAGUGGGUAACAUUGGACCGUGGGCGAAAUGCUGAUCCUGCAAUGCCGCGUGAGUGAUGAAGUCCUUAGAGUUGUAAAGCUCUAUUACCCGGGAUGAUAAUGACAGUACCGGGAGAAUAAGCUCCGGCUAACUCCGUG